GAUCCUGGCUCAGGAUGAACGCUAGCUACAGGCUUAACACAUGCAAGUCGAGGGGCAGCAUUUUUAGUUUGCUUGCAAACUGAAGAUGGCGACCGGCGCACGGGUGAGUAACACGUAUCCAACCUGCCGAUAACUCCGGAAUAGCCUUUCGAAAGAAAGAUUAAUACCGGAUAGCAUACGAAUAUCGCAUGAUAUUUUUAUUAAAGAAUUUCGGUUAUCGAUGGGGAUGCGUUCCAUUAGUUUGUUGGG
Molecule: ribosomal RNA, 249 nt
Filed under: uncultured bacterium
Lineage: Bacteria
Description: partial 16S ribosomal RNA
Rfam family: Bacterial small subunit ribosomal RNA
Source: RNAcentral